Non-coding RNA from Nyctereutes procyonoides (raccoon dog), 445 nucleotides. NCBI's taxonomy places the organism in Eukaryota, Metazoa, Chordata, Mammalia, Carnivora, Canidae. The record is from the annotation of a RefSeq genome assembly.
GAAGGCAGGAUCAGUGAAGACCUCCACCAUGGUCUGGUCUCCUCUCCUCCUCACCCUCCUCGCUCACUUCACAGGGUCCUGGGCCCAGUCUGUGCUGACUCAACAGGCCUCCGUGUCUGGGUCUCUGGGCCAGAGGGUCACCAUCUCCUGCACUGGAAGCAGCUCCAACGUUGGUUAUAGCAGUUAUGUGGGCUGGUACCAGCAGCUCCCAGGAACAGGCCCCAGAACCAUCAUCUAUAGUACCAAUACUCGACCCUCUGGGGUUCCUGAUCGAUUCUCUGGCUCCAAGUCAGGCAACACAGCCACCCUGACUAUUGCUGGACUCCAGGCUGAGGACGAGGCUGAUUAUUACUGCUCAUCUUAUGACAGCAGUCUCAGUGCUCCCACGGUGCUCCAGGCCUGUGGGGAAGUGAGACAAAAACCUACUUACCCGUCUGCAAAGUGA